RNAcentral lists this ribosomal RNA (425 nucleotides) under uncultured bacterium. RNAcentral describes it as "bacterial SSU rRNA". It matches the Rfam family "Bacterial small subunit ribosomal RNA", at positions 354 to 796 of the family's 1533-position model. The record is from RNAcentral.
GUGGGGAAUCUUGGACAAUGGGGGCAACCCUGAUCCAGCGAUGCCGCGUGGGUGAUGAAGGCCUUCGGGUUGUAAAGCCCUUUCGCCGGGGACGAUAGUGACGGUACCCGGAGAAGAAGCCUCGGCUAACUCCGUGCCAGCAGCCGCGGUAAGACGGAGGAGGCUAGCGUUGUUCGGAAUUACUGGGCGUAAAGCGCGCGCGGGCGGUUUUGCAAGUCAGGGGUGAAAGCCCGGGGCUCAACCUCGGAACGGCCUUUGAGACUGCAGAACUAGAGACCGGAAGAGGAGAGUGGAAUUCCCAGUGUAGAGGUGAAAUUCGUAGAUAUUGGGAAGAACACCAGUGGCGAAGGCGGCUCUCUGGUCCGGUACUGACGCUGAGGCGCGAAAGCGUGGGGAGCAAACAGGAUUAGAUACCCGGGUAGUCC